AAGCCAGGCAUCCCAGACCUUCUUCACAACCCUGACAAGCCCAUCCACAACCACGCCGUUCCCAUCAAAUGGUGACUGAUGCGGAAGGGACCCAGCUUAAUUCUCCACGCUGUGCACAACGAAUUACAAUCAGAACAUGCUGCAAAGUAGCACAUUUGGAUGCUAACAGGGGCUUCCGGGCCUGAUUCUGCAGGAAUCACUCGAACGUUGCUGGAGCAUUGUCUUCAAGAGGUUGACACGGAAGAGAACAGACUGAUAUCAAGGAAUUGGGCAGGAUUUAUACAAAGGAUUUAUAAACUUGAGCUCCAUGUAAGGAAGAGGUCUUUAAACAAACAGAUCUGCCCCUCUAAACAAGCAGAUCUGCACCAAAAUGGAGGAAUGCAGUACAAGGACCCCAAAGACGUGUGCUCUAGGGGUAGUAAUUUCACCCUUCGCCAGCUGGGUGACAUGGGGCAAGUCAGUUCACAUGCCUGAGGUCCAGUCCUCUCCUCCUUAGGAUGGAGACUGUGUCGCUGCUUGGAUGUCUUUUCAUUCCUUUGUUCAAAGUGGGGCAAUGCGUUUAGCAACAAACUGAUAUUCCUCUCCAUGGAUCAGCGGGAGAUUAAGAGCCCAGCAAUUUAUAAAUGUCAUGGCUCCGAUGCCUGGCAGGGAAGAACCUGGUGCUGCAGCGUUGAGUCCACAGACACUGUGGGAGUCUGUCCUAUAUGUGUGCAAGCAGGGACUCUGGGGGGUGCAGGGGGAUGCAGAAUGUUUGGCUCAAAGGCAGAGUCACCAGCAGACAGAAAGUUUGGUAAUUAAGUAGCUUAUGUGAAGUAAACAGUGAUGAUAAAAGCUAACAUUGACUAUGCUCCUUACACAAGCGAGGCCCUGAGCGCUUACUAAGCAUUAUGUUGUUUAUGUCAUUCAUUCAACAAAUAUUUAGGGAGGGCUCGCUGUGUGCCAGGCAGUGUCUGAGGAGUCAGCAGGGAACCAAAGGGGUAAUUAUCCUUGCCUUCCUGGAGAUUGCAUUCUACUGGUGUAUUUCAGGGAAGGCGAGAAGGAAAUGGAGGGAACAGAUACUAAACAUAGUAACUAAGUAUACUUUAAGUAUAUAAAGUGUCUCAGAUUGUUACCAUUACUAAAAGACAAUGUAUCAAGAGAGGCCCCCCACAGUGAGGAAUGCAUAGGAUUACAUAGGACGGUCCAGAAAAGCCUCGUCAUACAUAUUUAAGCAAAGACCAGGAGUGGGGACAAAUAUCUGGGGGAAGAAGUUUCCCAGUCGAGGAACUUUCAUACAUCAUAUUUUCACAGUGGUACAACUAUCACCACAACGAAUUUUGGAACAUUUUCAUCCCCCGAAAAAGACACGCCACACCUAUUAGCAGUCACUUCCCAUUGCCCCUGCCUUCCCUGCCCCUGGCAACCACUAAUCUGUUUUCUGUCUGUCCAGAUGACUUUUGUACUUGAAGGCUGUCUCUGGCUGAUCUGAAGAGAAGAGAUUACCAAGGGCUCAAGGUGAGGAAACUGAGGCUUAGAGAUACAGAGUUACCUGAAGUCUCAUGGUAUGUAGAGGAGAUUCGAAGAAUACAGUCUGUCAACCUCAAGCUCCUAGCCAUUGCUCAUCCUGCCUUUAAGGCUAUAGAAGGUUGGAUUUGUGUUACCCCUCCCUCCCUAAUAGUAUUAUAUAUUUCCUCCAUUCCUGUCCCUCCAUCCCUCCCUGACGUUGCUCUGCAAUACCUGGCACUAAAAUAGAUGGAGUACGUUUUCCUGUCUAUUGAAGUUUGCUUUGACCUUGUGACUGGCUUUGGUCAAUAGGCCUUAAAAGUGUUCACAUGGCUGUCUUGCCCUUUUACGCUUCCACUAGCACCAUGAGAUUAAAAUUCCAGGUAGCCACUGGCCCCAGGAGAACAAGGCGGCAUACAGAGAAGACCUGGAUCCAAUCCCUCAUCUGUAGACAGAACCAGCUGAAUCCAAACUAGAUAUGCCAAACUCCAACCGACCCACAGACUCGUGAGUGAGAAAAAUAAUGUUUGGGGUAUUAAGCCACAAGAUUUGGGGCAUAGUUGUUACAUAUUGUCAUUUCAGUAGAUAGUGACUAAUCGAAGAACAAACCUCAAAUCUUUGCUGCCUCUUCUGAAUGAUAAAACAACCAGAGUGGGAUACUGAGGUUCGAGGAGGAAAGCAGCUCGCUUCCAUUUGUACAGGUUGAAUGGGCAGCCCAGGGCUCUGACUGCAGAUCUUCCAACCUCAAGUCCAGCCCUCUUCUGUCUUUCAAUACCCCUCUCCUCCCCUGAAGUGUUCAUUAUUAUUAUCAUUAUUAUUUCAUAAUUGGUUAACAAACACGCCACAAGGAAGCCAGCAGAAAUGUCUGAUGGCUCAGAAUUUAAACAGCUCCCACCAAACUUGAUCAUUCAGUGCAAGACUGUCCACUGCUCCAUGAGGGUUUUCACAGCACAGCACUCACCAAGCUGCAUUUCCAUUGCUCAGCUUCCACAUCCGUCUCCCCCACUGCACUAGGAGCUUUCCAGAAAAAAGGGCCAACCACUCUUCAUCUCCAAUACCCAGUACAUUUCACAGGGUCUGACCUGGGAGAGAAUGAAGUAUGAUUUUUGAAUAGAUUCAU
Lemur catta (Ring-tailed lemur) is the source of this 2602-nucleotide long non-coding RNA. RefSeq lists it as uncharacterized. The transcript is spliced from 3 exons. The record is from RefSeq and is a predicted model, not a curated record. NCBI's taxonomy places the organism in Eukaryota, Metazoa, Chordata, Mammalia, Primates, Lemuridae.